GUGACAACCUCCGUGGAAGCAUAGAUACAACCUCGCAGGCGUGGAAGGGGGGGAGUACUGGUGAGAGAGGAUCGUACAUCCAGGGACAUCACCAGAAAUCCACAUCCCAGCACGCAAAGAGGGGGGGAAUACUGAUAGUACAGGGUCCGACACACAGACCAUAGUACUAGAAGACGUAUCCCAAAGUACCUAGUACGCAGAGGAGGGGGGAGUACUGGUGAUAAAGUAUCCCGAACACGGUCACAACCUACCAGCAACUAGAAGUCCGGAUAGCCUAAGAUGAGUUGAGGUAUCUAUUCUAGGGUUGAGGAGGUCCCGGGUCG
Molecule: long non-coding RNA, 323 nt
Filed under: Zostera marina
Lineage: Eukaryota; Viridiplantae; Streptophyta; Magnoliopsida; Alismatales; Zosteraceae
Description: long non-coding RNA (ZMAR_LNC003599)
Source: RNAcentral